UGGGGAAUAUUGCACAAUGGGGGAAACCCUGAUGCAGCGACGCCGCGUGAACGAAGAAGGUAUUCGUAUCGUAAAGUUCUGUCCUAUGGGAAGAUAAUGACAGUACCAUAGAAGAAAGCUCCGGCUAAAUACGUGCCAGCAGCCGCGGUAAUACGUAUGGAGCGAGCGUUGUCCGGAAUUAUUGGGCGUAAAGGGUACGCAGGCGGUUUAAUAAGUCGAAUGUUAAAGAUCGGGGCUCAACCCCGCAAAGCAUUGGAAACUGAUAAACUUGAGUAGUGGAGAGGAAAGUGGAAUUCCUAGUGUAGUGGUGAAAUACGUAGAUAUUAGGAGGAAUACCAGUAGCGAAGGCGACUUUCUGGACACAAAAUGACGCUGAGGUACGAAAGCGUGGGGAGCAAACAGG
Molecule: ribosomal RNA, 403 nt
Filed under: bacterium
Lineage: Bacteria
Description: partial 16S ribosomal RNA
Rfam family: Bacterial small subunit ribosomal RNA
Source: RNAcentral